RNAcentral lists this ribosomal RNA (253 nucleotides) under uncultured bacterium. RNAcentral's name for it is "partial 16S ribosomal RNA". It matches the Rfam family "Bacterial small subunit ribosomal RNA", at positions 524 to 776 of the family's 1533-position model. The record is from RNAcentral.
UACAGAGGUGGCAAGCGUUGUUCGGAAUUACUGGGCGUAAAGGGCGCGUAGGCGGCCUACUAAGUCAGACGUGAAAUCCCCAGGCUUAACUUGGGAACUGCGUCUGAUACUGGGAGGCUUGAGUGCGGGAGAGGGAUGUGGAAUUCCAGGUGUAGCGGUGAAAUGCGUAGAUAUCUGGAGGAACACCGGUGGCGAAGGCGGCAUCCUGGACCGACACUGACGCUGAGGCGCGAAAGCUAGGGGAGUAAACGGG